UUGACCUCAAAUCAGGUAGGACUACCCGCUGAACUUAAGCAUACAAAA
Molecule: ribosomal RNA, 48 nt
Filed under: uncultured Tricholoma
Lineage: Eukaryota; Fungi; Basidiomycota; Agaricomycetes; Agaricales; Tricholomataceae
Description: partial 28S ribosomal RNA
Source: RNAcentral